RNAcentral lists this ribosomal RNA (118 nucleotides) under Nocardiopsis sp. SBT366. Lineage: Bacteria; Bacillati; Actinomycetota; Actinomycetes; Streptosporangiales; Nocardiopsidaceae. The record is from RNAcentral.
CCGUGGUGGUUUUGGCAGGAGGGUCACACUCGGUCUCAUUCCGAACCCGGUCGUUAAGUCUCCUUGCGCUGAUGGUACUGCCCUGUUGUGGGGUGGGAGAGUAGGUCGCUGCCACGGU